Molecule: non-coding RNA, 2355 nt
Organism: Microcebus murinus (gray mouse lemur)
Lineage: Eukaryota; Metazoa; Chordata; Mammalia; Primates; Cheirogaleidae
Source: RefSeq, a predicted model, not a curated record
GGCAGGCAGGCGAGAGCGAGAAGCUGCGAGCGCGCGGGCUGAGGCGCAGGGCACGCUGGGACAACGAGUCCUUCCGACCGCCAACCUCUGGCCGCCUUCGUGGUCGUAUGAACUACAAUUCCCAGCCUGCCUCUCGCGCCCCUACGCCAGGCCCAGGGGCCUUGCCCUCCCAGGGCCUCGCACUCCGGAGUCGCCGGGCACGCUGGGAAGGGUCAGGCUCCGGCGGGAAGGCGGAGCCGUUAGUGAGUCUGAGGGGACGCGUGGUCUCGCCCGGAAAAACCACUUCUACUGAUACCCAGGACCGAACUGAGACCCACUGAAGAAAGAGUGCCUUCUCGGGAGGAGGAAGUACCUAGGGGUUGAGAAGAGAGGCUAGAACGAAGGUCCCCGCUUCGCUCCCUGCAGGGCCCCUCAGAAGUGUGAACUACUCGUUGCGGCAUCAGCCUCAUCAGGGGAGACCAAUUAGAGGGUCGGCGACGCGCUGGGGAAGGGGGCGUCCAGAAAUACCGUGUCUACCCGGACAACGCCAAGAACUCAGGCCCGACCACCCCGACCUCAGGAGCUGCGCUAAAGGGACAUCAAGAUUCCAAAAGCGCCUAAAUCCAGGGAAAGGCCACCUCAGUUUUCCCGGGACUUGAAACCUCAUAACUCGUCCACCCUGCCCAGGAACCCGAGCCCCGGAGGCCGCGUGAAAUUGCACUGUCUCCGGCCGCUUCCUCCUCCAGACCCGGCGCCGGCCCAGCCUCUCCGGGGGAUUUGGAUGGGGGGGUGGGGGUUGGUUUCCAGCCUGGGAACAGACCCCGGAGCCCGCCUUUCCACUUCUACCCCGGGAGGGGCUCCCGCACCUGUCGCCGUCCCCUCUGCUGCCCCCCACAGCCGCCUGGGAGAACAGCUGCCUUCCCUUCCACACUGGAGCCUGACCGCGCCGUCCAGGCGGCCGCAGUUCCCGCGGCUCUUCUGGGGGCCCAGAUGGGCACACGGUCCCCACCACAGGCGCCCACACCGUCCUGGGUGCCAAGUCCAGGCUCGCGCUGGAGAGCAGGAGGAGGGGUGGGCAGGAAGGGGGACGCGAAGAGGACACUAGAGACGAAUGGCACGGGCCCCGGAGACCUCCCGCACCAGCCCGGGCGAUCCCAGCCAGAAGGUCGGGCGCUGCUAAAGCCCCGCUAGCCCCGGGACGGAUCCGGCCAGCGCCCCCUGGUCCCCAACCUGUGGCAGUGAAGUCCCACUUGGCGUUAAUUUCAAAUCCUUAAAAUUGGCAUUCCAGAUCUCGCCGGGAGAGCCUAAUUAUUUUCCCCAGAACUUCAAGCCUGAAGACUUAGAGAACAAUUACGCCUUGAAAAAAAAAAAAUUCGCUCCUAGCCAAGACAAUUGGCUAAAUUCUUUUAACCUGCUCUCUAUUGACAUGCAACCUAGAGGGCCCAUUCUCUGCUUGAUAAUUCAGUUCCUGUUUCGCCCUCCUUGGGGAGGUUGAGUUGCCCAGACCACAGGCCCUAACAGUUAUAAUAGUGAUAGCAACAGCAAAACGGCUAACAUGUACAGGUACAUCCAUAUACCAUUUCGUUUUCAAAGCAUUUCCUCAAAUUUAAUGUCUUAGAGAAUGUGUCACUUAACAUAAAAAUUAUGUGAGCUAGGCAACAUCACUCUCCAUUUUACAGAACUGGAAACCUGUGACUUCUCCAAGGUCAUCCACCUGGUGACUGUAGUCCAGGUGAUCAGGUGACCAGGAGGAGCACUCAGGUUUGAUUUCUUAUGUUUUACUGAGAGUGAAGCUUCAUCUGCUCAGAAUCAAAUGCCCAUCAGAUAACACAGCUAAAACACUAAGGAUCUCCACUCCUACCUACUCUCCCCCAGAUUAAAGAGUCUUUCAUUUUAUUACGCCCCCAUCUCAACCUACUGUUCAGGGCUUUGGUUUUUGAAGGAGAAAACGCUCCUUGGUUUCCUUGUUUAUAAACAGUUGUAUAUACUUAUAAGAUUGUUGUUUAGGGGAAUUCUCUGAACCAUUAUUUGUUAGAGUGCUGCCCCACUGUAAAGAAAAAAAAAGAUUGUUGUUUGGACUUAAUGAGAAAAGGCAGGUAGAGCUAGCUCUAAAUUACUGUGUUGUGCUCAACCUUUAAGAAGCAUUCGAGGAAUGCCAGCUGUAUCUAUUUCCUUUAUCCCCAACUCCACCUUUACCCUCUCAACUAGAUCCCAAGAUGUGUCUGCUGUUAUCUAUUCAUUCUUCAACACUUAGAGAAACAUCAUACUAUCUCCCAGGAUAUAUACAGUGGUUAAAACUUCAUGUAACUGACCAUCUUUGUUGGGUGCUGCCCUGAUUAAAUAAAUGAAAGAAGGGAGGCCUAUUUAUGAAUGCUC